RNAcentral lists this ribosomal RNA (433 nucleotides) under uncultured bacterium. RNAcentral's name for it is "partial 16S ribosomal RNA". It matches the Rfam family "Bacterial small subunit ribosomal RNA", at positions 29 to 507 of the family's 1533-position model. The record is from RNAcentral.
AACGAACGCUGGCGGCAUGCCUAACACAUGCAAGUCGAACGAGACCUUCGGGUCUAGUGGCGCACGGGUGCGUCACGCGUGGGAACAUGCCCUUAGGUUCGGAAUAACUCCCCGAAAGGGGUGCUAAUACCGGAUCAUGUCUUCGGACCAAAGAUUUAUCGCCUUUGGAUGUGCCCGCGUUGGAUUCGCUAGUUGGUAGGGUAAAAGCCUACCAAGGCGACGAUCCAUAACUGGUCUGAGAGGAUGAUCAGCCACACUGGGACUGGGACACGGCCCGGACUCCUACGGGAGGCAGCAGUGGGGAAUAGUGGACAAUGGGGUAAGGCAUGAUCCAGCAAUGCCGCGUGAGUGAUGAAGGUCUUGGGGUAGUAAAGCUCUUUUACCCGGGAUGAUAAUGACAGUACCGGGAGAAUAAGCUCCGGCUAACUCCGUG